AUUGAACGCUGGCGGCAUGCCUUACACAUGCAAGUCGAACGGCAGCACGGGUGCUUGCACCUGGUGGCGAGUGGCGAACGGGUGAGUAAUACAUCGGAACAUGUCCUGUAGUGGGGGAUAGCCCGGCGAAAGCCGGAUUAAUACCGCAUACGAUCUACGGAUGAAAGCGGGGGACCUUCGGGCCUCGCGCUAUAGGGUUGGCCGAUGGCGGUUUAGCUAGUUGGUGGGGUAAAGGCCUACCAAGGCGACGAUCAGUAGCUGGUCUGAGAGGACGACCAGCCACACUGGGACUGAGACACGGCCCAGACUCCUACGGGAGGCAGCAGUGGGGAAUUUUGGACAAUGGGCGAAAGCCUGAUCCAGCAAUGCCGAGUGUGUGAAGAAGGCCUUCGGGUUGUAAAGCACUUUUGUCCGGAAAGAAAUCCUUGGCCCUAAUACGGUCGGGGGAUGACGGUACCGGAAGAAUAAGCACCGGCUAACUACGUG
RNAcentral lists this ribosomal RNA (486 nucleotides) under uncultured bacterium. RNAcentral's name for it is "partial 16S ribosomal RNA". It matches the Rfam family "Bacterial small subunit ribosomal RNA", at positions 30 to 507 of the family's 1533-position model. The record is from RNAcentral.